GGCAUUAAUGUAAUACUCUACUGCCAGACAUGAUAAUAGUCAAUAGCCCACCUACUGAAUUAUAUUCAGAAAGCACUUUCUGAAAAGAGAGAAAACUUAAUGAAAAAAAUCAGCCAGAAAGAUAACUAAUUAAAAUUGGAGAUUUCUCCAUUCCAUCUUUAAUUUUCUUCAAGUACCAACAGCAUCAGAUGCACAGAUGACAGCUUUACAGAAACUGCUUAGCCAGCUCCUACAAUUGUGUAAGGGAUUUAUUCAGCUUGGAGCUUAGCUGAUUCAACCUCAUAUAUGUCAUGACAACAUGGAUGCUCAAUUGGAGAAUAC
Homo sapiens (human) is the source of this 321-nucleotide long non-coding RNA. RefSeq lists it as uncharacterized. The record is from RefSeq and is a predicted model, not a curated record. Lineage: Eukaryota; Metazoa; Chordata; Mammalia; Primates; Hominidae. The transcript has 3 exons.